Molecule: regulatory RNA element, 66 nt
Organism: Mesorhizobium australicum
Lineage: Bacteria; Pseudomonadati; Pseudomonadota; Alphaproteobacteria; Hyphomicrobiales; Phyllobacteriaceae
Rfam family: S-element
About the family: This family represents a group of S-elements from p42d and related plasmids. The S-element has multiple functions and is believed to act as a negative regulator of repC transcription, be required for efficient replication and act as a translational enhancer of repC.
Source: Rfam
UGUCAAGAGUCUUGGCGUCGUUUUGGCGAGCGGAUUUCUUUUGCCUGAUUGAAGGUGAAGGAAAUG